UACGUAGGGACCAAGCGUUGUUCGGAUUUACUGGGCGUAAAGGGCGCGUAGGCGGCGUGACAAGUCACUUGUGAAAUCUCCAAGCUUAACUCGGAACGGUCAAAUGAUACUGUUGUGCUAGAGUACAGAAGGGGCAAUCGGAAUCCUUGGUGUAGCGGUGAAAUGCGUAGAUAUCAAGAGGAACACCAGAGGCGAAGGCGGAUUGCUGGGCUGAUACUGACGCUGAGGCGCGAAAGCUAGGGUAGCAAACGGG
RNAcentral lists this ribosomal RNA (253 nucleotides) under uncultured bacterium. RNAcentral describes it as "partial 16S ribosomal RNA". It matches the Rfam family "Bacterial small subunit ribosomal RNA", at positions 524 to 776 of the family's 1533-position model. The record is from RNAcentral.